UGGAAACUGCCCGAUGGAGGGGGAUAACUACUGGAAACGGUAGCUAAUACCGCAUAACGUCGCAAGACCAAAGAGGGGGACCUUCGGGCCUCUUGCCAUCGGAUGUGCCCAGAUGGGAUUAGCUAGUAGGUGGGGUAACGGCUCACCUAGGCGACGAUCCCUAGCUGGUCUGAGAGGAUGACCAGCCACACUGGAACUGAGACACGGUCCAG
RNAcentral lists this ribosomal RNA (212 nucleotides) under uncultured bacterium. RNAcentral describes it as "partial 16S ribosomal RNA". It matches the Rfam family "Bacterial small subunit ribosomal RNA", at positions 119 to 334 of the family's 1533-position model. The record is from RNAcentral.